AACAUUUCGGGAGAGGAAAGGGCCAGGGCUAGUGCAGCUCAGAAAAUCAUCCGAACUCUUUAAAUCACAGCUGCACAGGUGACUUGAUUUAGAGGGAGAGGUGUAAACUGUCAUUAUCUGUGAAUACUGAGCUCUAAUCCUGUAGAGCUGCAGUGGAGACUGCUAGAGAAGAUGAUUCCUGAUCUGAAAACAAUUCCAGCCUGGAGGAUCCUAAGGCAUUUCCUUGUAAGGGUAGUUUUCUUCUGUGCGGAAAAGAAAUGAAAGAACAUGUGCAAAUAUGGGUGGGAGAAGAAGAAACAGAGACAGAGAGAGAGAGAGACAGAUAAGUUGCAAAAACUUGGAUCUUUGUAUUUCUUUCUUUUCUUUUUCUUUUCUUUUCUUUUCUUUUUUCUUUUUUUUUUUUUUUUUUGAGACAGAGUUUCUUCUUUCUUGUUGCCCAGGCUGGAGUGCAAUGGUGCUAUCUCGGCUCACCGCAACCUCCGCCUCUCGGGUUUAAGUGAUUCUCCUGCCUCAGCCUCCCAAGUAGCUGGGAUUACAGGCAUGAGCCACCGCACCCGGCCUGGAUCUUUGUAUUUCUACGGUGUUUUUAGUUUAAGGAUCAUUUACACUUUAGGAGGUUUUUGUUUUUUCUGUCUUUCUUAUGUAAUAAUUAUGGGUGAGCCCUGAGAAAUGACUCAAAGCAAAAAUAAUGGGGUUUUCUUGAUUAUAGUUCCUCAUUUUUCCUGGCCACAGGCCAACCCUCAAUAUCCUCCACCUUUAUAAGGAAGACAGCUUCAACCCAGCCCUAAAGGGUGACUCCAGCCUCUUAUGAUCUUUCUUUCAUGUUGCAAACUGGACUCUCUUCUUCCAACUUUCUAAUUGCAAAAUUGCUCUUUAUUUUUAUGGGUUCUUAUUACUUCCAACCCAGGUGUGAAAAUGUCUUCUUGGACACCCUUAUCCCAUCUGUAGGGCCUGUGUAGGUCCCUCUUUCUCUCAUUCUUAGUUGAGGAUUGACUGAGUAGACUGCACAAUGAUGACCAUAUUUUAAAAGGGACAAAGGUCACAUAGCGAAGUCUCUGUUCAUUCUCCCAGGCACAAUCCCUUCUGUCUGGAUUCUGGUUGGGGCCAGGCUCAGACUUUUGUGCAUAUAGGAGGUGCUGCCAUAAUUAGCCCAUUUUGCUGGUUUUGUGCAUACCCUUCUUGGUAUAGGGCAGGCAGGAAAUUAGACUGUGUUAUGGAUUUGGUGGUCAUAUUUUAUGAACCCCAAAUCUAGAAUUGUGCUCUGGUGAGUAUAGGGUGCUAAUGGAAAAACUGAACAAAACAUAUGGAAAUAAGGCCACCCUGGAAAAGUAAUGAGAGUUCAUAGUAUUUCCUUCCAGUAGCUUGGAGAGAAUAUCAAAUAUCACAUGUUUAUUAAUAAUGUUGGUUUUUUUUUUGAGAUGGAGUCUCGCUCUGUUGCCCAGACUGGAGUGCAGUGGCGUGAUCUCUGCUCACUGCAAGCUCCGCCUCCUGAGUUCAUGCCAUUCUCCUGCUUCAGCCUUCUGAGUAGCUGGGACAACAGGUGUCCGCCACCAUGCCCAAUUAAUUUUUUUGUAUUUGUAGAGAUGGGGUUUCACCGUGUUAGCUAGGAUGGUCUCGAUCUCCUGACCUUGUGAUCCGCCCGCCUUGGCCUCCCAAAGUGCUGGGAUUACAGGCGUGAGCUACCGUGCCCGGCUAUUAAUAAUGUUAACAAUAACUAAUGAUUAUUGAGCAUUUACUACAUGUCAGGUCCUGAAUUAUGUAUAUUAUUUCAUUUACUCCUCAUAAAAGGGUUCCUUCUAGGAGCUAGGGGAGAAAACCAGCCAUUAUAUAGUCAAUAAUAAUAUUAAUGGUAAUAAUAGUUAUUAUAUAUAACAGUUAUAUAUUACAUAACAUAUGCUGGCCCGAAUUGAACAUAUUCUCUAAUUUGAUUUUUGAAUAUUUAAAAAUAUACACAUAUAUUUGUUUUUUUUUUUUAAGAGAUGGAGGAGUCUCACCAUGUUGCCCAAGCUGGCCUCAAACCCCUGGCCUCAAGUGAGCCUCCCACCUCAGCCUCCCAAGUAGCUGCCACCAUGCAGUCUCUAAUUUAAAUUUUAAACAAACCCUAGAUGUUAUUAUUAUCUUAGAGUAGGCUGCUUCUAAAAUAGCUCCCAAUGAUCCUCUUGCUGGUCUUUACAUCCUUGUGUAAUCUCCUUGAGUGUGGGCUGGACCUAAUGACUUACUUCUAACUCACAGGAUGUGGCAACAGUGAUGGGAUGUCACAUCUGUGAUUGGAUUACGAAAGACUGUGCCUUCUGUUUUGCUAUUACUGUCUCUGGUGAGUCCUCUCUCUUGCUCUUGCUUGCUUGCACUGAUGAAGUAAGCUGCCACGUUGUGAGAUGCUCAACGAAGAGGCCCAUGAGGCAGGGCACCGAGGGAGGCUUCUGGCCAACAGCUCCUGGGGAACCAAGGCCUUAGGAAGUGAGUCCUGCCAACAAUAACGAGAGCCUUGAACUUUGAAACCACAGUACCUUGUUCCAGCGUGGAAAGCAGCGUGGCACUUCCCGGUGGUGAAAGCACCCCAGCUUGAAAGGGUGAAAACACCUUCUCCCAGAUAGUCUCCCUUUGUUUAGCCAGUGCUUUUGCCUUAAGGAAAUCAAAUGAAGGGGUCAGCCAGGAGUGGAUCUGGAAGCUGGAGAACUCUCAAUACGCCACUUCAGUUUAUUGACGACAUUUAUAAUUGCAACCGAAGUUGACUGAUUUCUGCUAAAUGAAAGUUUGCGCUUUGCCCUUUAGCAUUGAGGCUCCUGGAAAGAACUUCAAUGAAAUUGGAUGCAUUGAGACCAAAGAAAAGAAGGGGACAUUUUUAUCUCUCUGAUACCUUUCUCCCCAGGGCUUGGAAACACUUCUUAAACACAACCUCUAAUGUUGGUGUUUUGUAAGUACUACCCCUAUGAAUAAAGCUAGCAGAGAUAAGCUUCUCCUUGCAGGAAGUGAGCUGGAGAAGUGGAAAAGUUUACAGAGAAAACUCUACAACAAAGACUUAACCCUUC
RNAcentral lists this long non-coding RNA (3029 nucleotides) under Homo sapiens (human). Its description in RNAcentral is "HSALNT0377925". Lineage: Eukaryota; Metazoa; Chordata; Mammalia; Primates; Hominidae. The record is from RNAcentral.